RNAcentral lists this ribosomal RNA (1104 nucleotides) under Candidatus Phytoplasma mali. RNAcentral's name for it is "bacterial SSU rRNA". It matches the Rfam family "Bacterial small subunit ribosomal RNA", at positions 217 to 1332 of the family's 1533-position model. The record is from RNAcentral. Lineage: Bacteria; Bacillati; Mycoplasmatota; Mollicutes; Acholeplasmatales; Acholeplasmataceae.
GCUAAGAGAUGGGCUUGCGGCACAUUAGUUAGUUGGUAAGGUAACGGCUUACCAAGACUAUGAUGUGUAGCUGGACUGAGAGGUUGAACGGCCACAUUGGGAUUGAGAUACGGCCCAAACUCCUACGGGAGGCAGCAGUAAGGAAUUUUCGGCAAUGGAGGAAACUCUGACCGAGCAACGCCGCGUGAACGAUGAAAUAUUUAGGUAUGUAAAGUUCUUUUAUUAAAGAAGAAAAAAUGAUGGAAAAAUCAUUCUGACGGUAUUUAAUGAAUAAGCCCCGGCUAACUAUGUGCCAGCAGCUGCGGUAAUACAUGGGGGGCAAGCGUUAUCCGGAUUUAUUGGGCGUAAAGGGUGUGUAGGCGGUUUAAUAAGUCUAUGGUAUAAGUUCAACGCUUAACGUUGUGAUGCUAUGGAAACUGUUUGACUAGAGUUGGAUAGAGGCAAGUGGAAUUCCAUGUGUAGCGGUAAAAUGCGUAAAUAUAUGGAGGAACACCAGUAGCGAAGGCGGCUUGCUGGGUCUUAACUGACGCUGAGGCACGAAAGCGUGGGGAGCAAACAGGAUUAGAUACCCUGGUAGUCCACGCCGUAAACGAUGAGUACUAAGUGUUGGGUUAAACCAGUGCUGAAGUUAACACAUUAAGUACUCCGCCUGAGUAGUACGUACGCAAGUAUGAAACUUAAAGGAAUUGACGGGACUCCGCACAAGCGGUGGAUCAUGUUGUUUAAUUCGAAGAUACACGAAAAACCUUACCAGGUCUUGACAUACUCUGCAAAGCUAUAGAAAUAUAGUGGAGGUUAUCAGGGAUACAGGUGGUGCAUGGUUGUCGUCAGCUCGUGUCGUGAGAUGUUGGGUUAAGUCCCGCAACGAGCGCAACCCUUAUCGCUAGUUACCAUCAUUUAGUUGGGCACUUUAGUGAGACUGCCAAUGAUAAAUUGGAGGAAGGUGGGGAUUACGUCAAAUCAUCAUGCCCCUUAUGACCUGGGCUACAAACGUGAUACAAUGGCUGUUACAAAGAGUAGCUGAAGCGUGAGUUUUUAGCAAAUCUCAAAAAAACAGUCUCAGUUCGGAUUGAAGUCUGCAACUCGACUUCAUGAAGUCGGAAU